This is a long non-coding RNA of Patella vulgata (common limpet), 3612 nucleotides long. RefSeq lists it as uncharacterized. The record is from RefSeq and is a predicted model, not a curated record. The transcript has 2 exons. NCBI's taxonomy places the organism in Eukaryota, Metazoa, Mollusca, Gastropoda, Patellidae.
CUAACAAUGACGUCAUACACUAAACCGAAAGUUUAUUUAGGUUAUUUCCAGCGGAAGUUGUUAUUCUGAAAACUGCAAUCGACAUUAUUGGUUUUUGGCGUCAAACCCCGACUAAGAACAUACCAGAAACCUUUUACCAGAAUACUACAUUGAAGAAAAUCUUCUUAGUAUGUCUAAAUGAAGAUGGGAUAACAUAUGGUUUAUUUUUGAAAGAAUAACAUCAACGUGUUGUCAUAAUAAUGGUUCACCCAGCUGUGUAUGCUGUAAUACCUAUGCUAUCACUAGGACUAGCUGCUCUGUAUUAUGUAUUCAAGGGCUCGCCUAGUGAAACCCAUGGAUCAGGCCCCUCCCACAAUCCAAGAUAUCCAAACAACCCUGCUUCGUCCAACACAAGUAAUCUACGUCGAAGGCGAAAACUAGAUUAUGACGACAACGAAUGUCAGAUUUGUCAGGAUGCCAGUUGCAAUGUAGAAAUUCUACCAUGUCACCAUCGAGAAAUAUGUGAGCAGUGUGUGAAUGCAAUUAUAACUAAAGUCGACAGAUUAUGCCCAUUUUGUAGACAAUUCAUCCAGGGAUAUAGAGACAUUUAAAUACAUGGAGGAAGCUGUGUUUUGAUUUUAUUUUGGGUCAGGGGUUCUUUUCUUUAUAUUCAAAUUUUAGCAAAAAUUAAUUAAUUCAAAAGUGGUUCUGAUUAUAAGAAUACAUAUAUUUUUCGUAGCCUAGAGGCCUGUGUACAUGGUGAUAUCAUGGACCUUAUAAUACAACCCAUAGUGAUAUCUGUCUGUGUUUGGUGGAAUUAUUCAGUAAAGAGAAACACAAGUUUUUAACAUUCCAGUGUAAUUCACCUGUUGUAUUUAUAUAGAAUUAGUUAGGUUGUUACCAGGUGAUUCAAUUUCUUGACCAAUAAUUUCAGUAGAUGCAAUAAUAAGCUAUCGUUUGCCAUCGCAAACCAUAGUCUAGUAAUAUACAUUACAUGUGCACAUCCUGCAAAGUAUUAAAUUCCAGCUUAUUCUUUUGAGGACAUUGGCCAGUCUCUAAUAAGCAGAUAAAUAACCUAGCUCAAUCAGUUUAUUUAGCUAUAUGGGCUCUGCUUUCAUUAGCCAUCUUGGUGCAGAAAAGUAAGACAUUAAUCCAUAUUAUCAGGCCCAAAAUUAUUUCAGUAUACAUUAUUUCUAUGCAAAUAAACUGCAUUUUUACUUCAUUGAAAUUAUUUUUGUUUUGAUGAUCAUUGAUCACUCCAUUUGUCAGCCAAAUAACAUCACUUUAGUCCAAAUAUAAUACUUAUAAUUUAAACUGUUGUUUUUUGGGGGGUUAAAAUUUGGAUUAAGUUAUUUGUUUAUAAAAAUAGGAAAUGCCAAAUAAUGGCAGUUAUUUAUAUGACACUUAUUUCAGAGCAAAAUGUAACAAUAAUCAUUUGAAUGAUAUGCAAGUUAUUGGUACUGGCUAAUGAAGGGACAUAACUCUAUUUAAAGGCACAACACGCUGAUCCUUCACAUACAUGUAUCUUGAAUAGAAACAUAGCUGGCCAUAUUUUAAGUUAGAAUUGAUCAAUUUCAACUUUUUUUGUACUAAAACUGUAUAUUUUUGAUUGUGUACUCAGUACAUUCAUAAACUCUAUAUUAAAUCUUAAAAAAAAUGGAGGGUUUUGUGACCAAAUGGUUUAACAUGUGCAUGUUAGAUCAGGUCUGCCAUUGAGUUAAGUGGUGUAGUUUCAAUUGUGACAUGGGAUAGUUCAUCCUCGCAGGGGCGGAUCCAGAGGGGGGGUUUGGGGGGUUGAAACCCCCCAGCUCAGCUACAUAAUUUUGUUUGUAAAUCAACAUAUGAUAGUCCUGAAAUGACCUAGUUUGUAUUCAAAUUUUAACAGUUUAAGAUAAGCUAUAAAAACAAAUAAUGAACUGACUAUACAUGUAUAAUUAUUCUCCAAGCAUGUAUCUUACAGAAAAGUUAAAUAUACAUUAUGUAAGUGCUAAAUCUGCCUAUUGUAGGUCCUUGGCAGUUGGAAUUCGAUAUAAGAGUAGGCCGUAGCGCCGCUGUCUGUGCAAAAUUUCCCUCAUAGCACACUGUAUGGCGUAUUCCCGUCUUCAUUAGCCCAGUUUAGGAGCAGAACAGUAGGACGUUAAACCCCAAUUCAUUUCAUUUCCUAUUGUAGGUCUUUAUUUAGGCCUGAAAUGUUAUCUAAAUUAUUGAUUAGACAUUAAUUAACUUAUCCAGACCAUAAUCAAUUCUCGAUGUCAUCGCUAGCCUGUGAUGUUUAUUGGAUUAGGUUCUGGUUUGCUGUUCGACUUCCAUUCAUGAUUUAAUUAUAAAAAUGGAUAAUCAAGACUAUGUUUUUUAUCGUAUAGACCUAAAUCAUGAUGAUCAAGGCUAGGACGAAAAUUCAAUCCUAACAUCUUGGUUCAGAGUGGAUCACUGUUAUAGUGAGAACUGCCAGCUCUUUAUCUAAUCUCCCAUAAUGUAUCUUUAGGCAAAUUCUUAGUUUAACUGAUAUCUAAGAAAUGUUAAUGAUAUAUUCCCUUAAUCAUAGUUAGAUCAUCUGUUUAACACUCUAGUUUGUAUGACAACUGACCAGGGAUAUUAAGAUUAUAGAUUCAAAUUCCCUAAUAAACACACAAUAAAUUAUUACAGAACAUUAACCACGGAACCUGCGGUUGUUAUCUUAGGUUACAUUAUUCACACAUUACUAAGUAAUGAAAGUGCUUGGCGAUUCAUUGUUUUGCAGCAGUAAUGUAUAGAUAUUGCUCUCUUAUAAAAUUUGUACAUACAUGUAUUGUAGAUAGUGAAAAAUGUUUUUAUGUUUUUCAUAACAAGUAAGUUUUCCCUUGUAGUUCAGAUUUGAUGAUGAUUUAUUUAGUAUCCUGGCUUUAAUAAUGAUUAUAUUGGUGUGUUUUAGCUUUUGUUAAAUAUGCAUAUUUUACAUGUAUUAUGUUUGUAAAGUUCAAAUUUAGCUGCUGUAAAUACUUUAAGUAGGUAUAGUAUUGCUGUGAGCAUUUGUGACAAGCUUGGUUAAAAUUUUCGAAAAUAAUCAUUAAUCAAAUUUCUAUAUUUCCUUAUAACAUAUUUUGCAAUUAGAAUAUUACCUAAAUUAUUUAUUUGUCUAUUUAAUGUGACUAAACCAGCCAGUUUUUGUAUAUUUUCUACCUGCUAAUUUUAAACCUGCAUAAAAAAAUGAUACACAAAAUGUUAGAUUUUUAUAGUUUCAAUAGAGCUUGUCACAUUUGAUUCAUUUCAAACUGCUGUGGUUGCAAAUCUAAUGGUAAAUUUGUAGAUUUUUUUUACCAUUUUCUAUUUUCUUAAUUCAUACCAUUUUUUUAAUUUGUUCAGCAUUUUGUAUUUAAAAUAAUAUGGAGUAUAAAACAAUAUAGUUUAAUAAAAUAUGAAAUUAAUUUAUCUGUGAUACAGUGUAAAAUAAAGAGAAAUUGGAUAUUGUUUUUACGAAAUUAUAGCCAUGGUCGACAAACAAUAUGAUUACGAAAUAUAGAUCAAUUGUAGUACAAUAUGAUUUCAUCUACCUUAUGACAUCAUGAUUUACACGCAUUUAUUACAUUGGGGCAAAUUCUGUUUAUUUGAACAUCUGAAAUUACAAAUUAAUAAAAAUUUAUAGUAUCUAUAAAA